GUCACAAUAGAAAUCUCGUCUCAGAUUGCUUCACAGACAAUAAUUUGUGAAAGAGAGACAGAAAUCAGUCACUCGAAAUCGUGAAUUCCACUUCACAUAUAAAUCGUUCACUGUGAGUCCGUGAACCCAUAUACUAAUACAUGUAACCCAGCGAAUAGCAGUAAACAGUCAAUAUGAAUGAUUUUCAAGCGAUAUCGCGUGAAAAUGCAGAGGUAAAAUAUUGGAACUAUAUUAACUUAUUUUAAGAGGCUGAAUUAAUGUUAAAACGACGAAAGUUGA
Long non-coding RNA from Saccostrea cuccullata (small rock oyster), 279 nucleotides. RefSeq lists it as uncharacterized. The transcript is spliced from 3 exons. Lineage: Eukaryota; Metazoa; Mollusca; Bivalvia; Ostreida; Ostreidae. The record is from RefSeq and is a predicted model, not a curated record.